AUAUAUAUAUAUAUAUAUAUAUAUAUAUAUAUAUAUAUAUAUAUAUAUAUAUAUAUAUAUAUAUAUAUAUAUACGUGUCAUAAACGUAUGCAAGAGUUAAAUCCGACUGCAUUUGAUCACACCGUAGACUUCAGUAAUAAUACCCAAGACGCAUGUGCUGCUCGUAGGAAGUUCCCCUUUAAAACGCGAAGUACGCAUGCGUCAUGUUCUUUCUUGCCAAGCGUGGAAGGAUGAGCUGGUUGCAAGUCGCAGUAUAACUUGAGGAGCCAGAUGAUUGCUGCAGCCAAUGGAAGGGAUCAUGGCAUUUGCCACUGGAAAUGGGUGACAUGAGAAGUGCAGAGUAAUAAAAACGAGUAACUUUAAAAUGGGUACAAGGGUCGCCACUCAGAAAACCGUGACCUGAAAAGUGCAGAUGAAUUUAAAAUGGUUGCAUAGGUUUCCACAAAAUUCAAGAUCUGUCUGUGGGAGUCUUCCAGCACAAGGUCCCUCUGGUGUGAGGAGUCCAGGUCACGGAGAGCACAGGGAAAUGCCGCAUUGGGUGGAAAAACAAGCGCAGAGGCCCCUGCAUUCCCAAGACCAACUUUUCUAAUUUCCAAACUCUGGAACAUGCACUCACCGAAACGGGAGCUUGAUCCUAACUAUAAACUAGUAAUGAUGUGCUGAAAGGUGAAUGGGUUAUGAUUAACAUUAUUGAAAUAAAUUCUUAUUGAAACAUUUAUUUUUGUAUCCAUUUGUUCAGGAUUUAGAAAAAUAUGGGAGAACUAACCGUGUUUUAGGGUGACUGAACUUUCGCCCAGCAAAACUGCAAUGACUACAUCUUCCUCUAGAACUUGUGUUCUUUGACUGAGUUUAGCAUGAGCCCUGGCCAGAACCAGAAAAAGGUCAUGUGUAUGAAAUGGUCAUAUUUCUACUUGUAUUGUGUGCUGCUUCAUCCGCAUAAUCGAAGAUUAAUACAUUUAGAUAAUUAUUUUUAGAUUUGUAUGUUCAUUAGCUAAAUAUUAAAGUUUUGGAAAAGACCAGCUCUAAAUAAACUGACAUCGUAUGUAAAUUUAAUUAAAAAAAAAAUAAAAAAUAGUUCAGUCCUUUUGGAAACUCCGUGCUGGAUUUGUAGACUUGUUAUAUAACUGCUCCAUCUAGUGGUAUAAAUCAGGCAUUCAUAUAUAGCUGUGGGUAUUUUGUUUUUGUAGCACUUACAUCAGUUUGACAGUGACUGAAACUGGAUCUCUCUGAGUCUGAACAAACCCUGUGACUGCCCAUGUAAUGGCUGUGGAUCAUCCUUUCAGCCUCUGGAUAAAUGUCCACCUUUAGUUGCCUUGCAUGAGCCAAGAGCUGGGGGUGUGGGGGGAAACAGUACUUCAGUACUAACCACAUUAUGCAAAUUACUCAAGAUCUCUAGAAGUUUCAAACAACCAAAGAAACUGCACCCCAAUUACAGUUUAUCAUAUACUACUGGUAAAACGUUUGGAAUAAAGCUUUUGUGUUUUAUAAAAGUAUUAAGCUAACAAAGGCGGUUUAUUUGAUCAAAAUACAGUAAAAGCAGUAUUAUUGUGAAAUAUCAUUACAGUUAAACGAGUUGUGAUGAUCCUUCAUAAAGGAACUCAAUAUUAAUAUAAGAUAAAUGUUCCCUGAGCAAGAGUCAGAAAGCCUAUCAGAAUAAUUUUAGCUGAAUGAAAGAACUUUUGACUUGUAUUGUGCAUUAUCUGACCUUU
Long non-coding RNA from Carassius auratus (goldfish), 1709 nucleotides. Lineage: Eukaryota; Metazoa; Chordata; Actinopteri; Cypriniformes; Cyprinidae. The record is from Ensembl.